GUAACAGCUCACUGGUCAAGCGCAGCUGCGCCGAAAUGUAACGGGGAUCAAGCCACGCGCCGAAGCUUAGGGCUCGAAAGAGCGGUAGCGGAGCGUUCCGUAAGCCUGUGAAGCCGUCGGGCGACCGAUGGUGGAGGUAUCGGAAGUGAGAAUGCUGACAUGAGUAGCGACAAAGAGGGUGAGAGACCCUCUCGCCGAAAGACCAAGGGUUCCUGUCCAAUGCUAAUCAGGGCAGGGUUAGCCGGCCCCUAAGGCGAGGCCGAAAGGCGUAGUCGAUGGGAACCAGGUGAAUAUUCCUGGGCCAGCGGGUGUGUGACGGAUGUGGACUGUGGUUUGGGCUUAUCGGAUUGCCCAGGCUCUGGAAAGCGUCCCAGGAAAUAGCCCCCGCAUAGACCGUACCCGAAACCGACACAGGUGGUCUGGUAGAGAAUACCAAGGCGCUUGAGAGAACUACUGCGAAGGAACUCGGCAAAUUACCCUCGUAACUUCGGGAGAAGAGGGCCUGGUUGAGUAACUUCAGCCAGGGGCACAAACCAGGGGGUGGCGACUGUUUAUCAAAAACACAGGGCUCUGCGAAGCCGUAAGGCGACGUAUAGGGUCUGACUCCUGCCCAGUGCCGGAAGGUUAAGAGGAGGUGUGCAAGCACUGAAUCGAAGCCCCGGUGAACGGCGGCCGUAACUAUAACGGUCCUAAGGUAGCGAAAUUCCUUGUCGGGUAAGUUCCGACCUGCACGAAUGGAGUAACGACUUCCCCGCUGUCUCCGCAGUAGACUCAGCGAAAUUGAAUUCUCCGUGAAGAUGCGGAGUUCCCGCGGCUAGACGGAAAGACCCUGUGAACCUUUACUGCAGCUUCGCAGUGGCGCUAUCGACGGCAUGUGUAGGAUAGGUGGGAGGCUUUGAACCGGAGGCGCCAGCUUUCGGGGAGCCAUCCUUGAAAUACCACCCUUGU
RNAcentral lists this ribosomal RNA (948 nucleotides) under uncultured Petalonema sp. RNAcentral describes it as "bacterial LSU rRNA". It matches the Rfam family "Bacterial large subunit ribosomal RNA", at positions 1134 to 2209 of the family's 2925-position model. Lineage: Bacteria; Bacillati; Cyanobacteriota; Cyanophyceae; Nostocales; Scytonemataceae. The record is from RNAcentral.